UGGGGAAUAUUGGACAAUGGGCGAAAGCCUGAUCCAGCCAUGCCGCGUGUGUGAAGAAGGUCUUCGGAUUGUAAAGCACUUUAAGUUGGGAGGAAGGGCAGUUACCUAAUACGUAUCUGUUUUGACGUUACCGACAGAAUAAGCACCGGCUAACUCUGUGCCAACAGCCGCGGUAAUACAGAGGGUGCAAGCGUUAAUCGGAAUUACUGGGCGUAAAGCGCGCGUAGGUGGUUUGUUAAGUUGGAUGUGAAAUCCCCGGGCUCAACCUGGGAACUGCAUCCAAAACUGGCAAGCUAGAGUAUGGUAGAGGGUGGUGGAAUUUCCUGUGUAGCGGUGAAAUGCGUAGAUAUAGGAAGGAACACCAGUGGCGAAGGCGACCACCUGGACUGAUACUGACACUGAGGUGCGAAAGCGUGGGGAGCAAACAGGAUUAGAUACCCAUGUAGUCCCUGAGCGGGCUGGCAAGGCGCAU
RNAcentral lists this ribosomal RNA (472 nucleotides) under uncultured bacterium. RNAcentral describes it as "bacterial SSU rRNA". It matches the Rfam family "Bacterial small subunit ribosomal RNA", at positions 355 to 825 of the family's 1533-position model. The record is from RNAcentral.